Non-coding RNA from Miniopterus natalensis, 393 nucleotides. The record is from RefSeq and is a predicted model, not a curated record. Lineage: Eukaryota; Metazoa; Chordata; Mammalia; Chiroptera; Miniopteridae.
GUGAUCAUGCACUGCACCUGGGCCAGCUGGGAGCUGUAGCGGGCCUCCGUCUCCGUCAGCGUGUUCUCCAGGGAGUCUCUCUGUGUGGGGAAGGUGUCUGAACACUACCCACCAGGUUGUGCUGGGCCUGCAGCUCGAUCUCCAGGGCGUUGACUGUGCGUCUCAGCUCGAUGAUCUCCGCCUGGCAGGUCUGCAGCUGCUCUGAGCUGGACACCACCUGCUUGUUCAGCUCCUGGGUCUGCAACAAGGCUCUGAAAACAAGACCAGGAUAUCACAAUACGAACUGAAGAAGCUGAUGCUCUGGUUUUAGGCAAGAAGCAAUAUAAGAUUGCUAUGGCUGAUUUUGGCCUAAUGCCUUACCCUCCCCCAAGUCUGUAUCUUUCCCUCAUGGGG